ACGAACGCUGGCGGCGUGCUUAACACAUGCAAGUCGCACGGUAAGGCCCCUUCGGGGGUACACGAGUGGCGAACGGGUGAGUAACACGUGAGCAACCUGCCCUUGACUCUGGAAUAACAGUUGGAAACAGCUGCUAAUACUGGAUAUUCAUCGUCUCCUUCCUGGGGGGUGGUGGAAAGCUCCGGCGGUCAGGGAUGGGCUCGCGGCCUAUCAGCUUGUUGGUGAGGUAAUGGCUCACCAAGGCUUCGACGGGUAGCCGGCCUGAGAGGGCGACCGGCCACACUGGGACUGAGAUACGGCCCAGACUCCUACGGGAGGCAGCAGUGGGGAAUAUUGCACAAUGGGCGCAAGCCUGAUGCAGCAACGCCGCGUGCGGGAUGACGGCCUUCGGGUUGUAAACCGCUUUCAGUAGGGACGAAGGGUGACUGACGGUACCUACAGAAGAAGGACCGGCUAACUACGUG
RNAcentral lists this ribosomal RNA (464 nucleotides) under uncultured bacterium. RNAcentral's name for it is "partial 16S ribosomal RNA". It matches the Rfam family "Bacterial small subunit ribosomal RNA", at positions 29 to 507 of the family's 1533-position model. The record is from RNAcentral.